CCCCACCUUUUGUGGUGGAAAUCCUUCGAAGUUUCUUCUGGUUUUCUCAUUUUCCUUCUAGGGAUGGAAAAUAAAAGCCUUGGAUUUGGCUGGUAAAAUCUAUUCAUUUUAGCAUCCUUUUUUUUCAUUUCUAACUAGUGUUUACCACUCCCAGCCUGUCCUUCUUGUCCUUUUCUCUAUUUCUUUCCAUAUGGCUCCCUUUUGCUUUCCCUCCCGGAGCAGUGUCCACAGCAGACUUUCCUAGGUGACUUUCCCCCGCUGUCCAGCUCUGGGUGCCAAUGUCUUUGGAGAAGUCUAAAUUAGACUCUUAAUCUUUCCUUGCUUGCUCUCUGUGUUGCUGCAAAGGAGUUAAUGAAAGUUUGAUUCUUCUGCACGUACAGAUCACAAUGGCCACUGUUAAAAAGCCUUCAGCAUCUGGAAAGUCUUUGACUUGUGCUGGGGGCAGUGAGGUGAUAAGUGUUAUGCUUUCCCUGCAGAAGAGUUGUAGCAAGGCUUCUUCUAGUUAUUCAAAAUUAUAUCUUUCCUUUCUUGAGAGUACCAGUGCCUGCUUUGGCAAUGCUAAAACUUUCCAGCAGUCGUAACAGGAAGAGCCCACCACUGGCAUAUUUCUAGGAAGCCAGAAAGCACUAAAGCUGUGAUUGUGAUGAUGAGUGGCAAUGACAAGCUGUUUUUGGUCUAGUUUUUUGAGGAAAGUCUAGGAAAGAUUCUUUCACUGCUAUAAAUAGCCUAGCAGAUGGAUUCUAAUGGAUGUACUCUUUUUGAAAGACGAUAUUCCAUAAAAUUCUAUUGAGGAUUUGUGGGUGACUUACAAGAUGAAAUGCUGCUUUAUUGAAUCUUUUCUGCUUUGCAUUUAGCUGCACUUUCCUCAUGGCAAUAUUGUUACUGUACAUGUAAAUAUGUAAUUGAGGUCCACUUUCUUGGUCAAAAAAUGCUAUGUAAUUCUUAUAAAAAUUAAUGAAAUGGUAGGCUCUUUUUGCAUCACAGACUCUGGUCUCAUGAAAAAGAGAAACUGCUAUUUUCUUUUGAAUUAGAGGAUAGUUUUGAAGUUUGCUACUAGAAAUAGAAUAUAUAAAAAAUUUAAGUUUACUGAAUACAAAUGCUCUGUUCCUGGUUGGCGAAUCAUUUAGAAUACAGGUAGGUAUAGAUGUACAUUUUUACCUUAAAUAAAUUGCUAACAAAUCUAAUCCAGCAAUAUAUUAAAUGAGACACAUGAUACAUUAAUUGUCAAGAUAGGAUUCGUUACUAACUCAUUAAAAAAAGAUCUAUUUUCUAUCAAAUGCCAACCUUGUUCUUAAUGAUGAAAUACCAUAGAAAUUCCCUUUAAACAAGACCAGGACAUCUGUUGCUACUGCUCUUAACAAUUAAAGGUUCUCAGGUCAAGCUAACAGAUGAGAAAUAAAAUUACCAUGAUUUGAGACAAAAAGACCAUCUACAUUGAAAAUCCAGGAAAAGUCAACUGUGAAAUCAUUAGAAUGAAUAGAAGACCUAAAAUAAAUAUUAAAAAUCCAUGUUUUCUACAUGAUCUUUAUUUUUUUAUUUUUAAAGAUUUUAUUUAUUUAUUCAUGAGAGACACAGAGAGGCAGGCAGAGACACAGGCAGAGGGAGAAGCAGGCUCCAUGCAGGGAGCCUGAUGUGGGACUCGAUCCCAGGUCUCCAGGAUCACACCCUGGGCUGAAGGCAGGCUCUAAACCACUGAGCCACCCAGGGAUUCCUCUACAUGAUCUUUAAAAAGCAAGUUACGUGUCUGCAAAUAUACGUAAGAGAAUCAUAAGACAGGAAGAUACUAUUUAAAAUAACAGUGAGAAAAACGCUCUGUGAAAUUAAAAAUAUGACAGCCCAAAUAAGGAUUCAAUAGAAAUCUAGAAGAUAAGCUUGAGAAAUAGUCUUAGAGAACCAAAACUCAAAGAGAUGAACCGAAACAGAGGAAAGAUGAGAAAACUGGAGGAUCUGCCUAGGAUGUCCAUGAUCAGAUUAAAAGGAAUUCCCGUAAAAAAGAGCAAAGCAGAAGGGAGGAAAUUAUCACACAUACACACCACACACAAAGACCAUUUCACUGCAUUGAAUGUCUAAAGCUCGUACUUUUUUCAGAUUCCCUUCAUUUUUAUCUAAUGUACUCUUUCUUUUCUAGGAUACUACAAUACAUUCACCACGGCUCCGUAGGCAUCCCUUAGCUGUGACAGUUUCUGACUUUAUUUUUGAUGAUCUUGAGAGCUUUGAGGACUGGUCAGGUAUUUGUAAAACGUCCAUCUGCUGAGAUUUGUCUGCUUUUUUCACAACUAGACUGAGGUUAUGGAUUUGGGGGAGGAAGAUCACAGAGGUCAGGUGCCACCUUCAUCACAUCAUAUGAAGGGCACCUACUCCCCACAAGUGCUCUACUGAUGACCGAUGUCACCUGACCUAGGUGGUGUUUUGUCAAGUUUCUCUACCGUGAAAGUUAUUCUUCCCCAGCCCCGUUCCCUACUGUGUUCUUUGGAAGGAAGCCACUAACCAUGUUGGAGUGAAGAGUUCCACUGCACCUCAAGGAUGAAGUAGCUACAUAAAUCACUUCCAAGAAAUACUUUAGGAGCGUGACUGUUGGAUGGUGGUAAGACCAAGUUGGGCUGUGUUGAGAAACUGCCUGUUUUCCAAAGUGGCUGCAACAUUUUGCAUUCCCAUUAGUAAUGAACAAGAGUUCCUGUUGCUGCUCUGCAUCCUUACCAGAAAUUGAUACUGUCAGUUAUUUUUUAAAUUGUAACCAUUCUAAUAGAUGUAGUGGUGUCUCCUUGUUUGUCCUUGCUGAUGUUUUUAAGUUACAGGAGUUUAACAAAUCCAUGCCUCAUAAUUCAGGAGUACCUCUGGAUCUUUUCCUAUUGGUCUGAUGUGUGUGCCAAUUCUUAUUCAUGUGUUGUUUUUGCGUGUCUGCCUACAUUUGAUUAUAUGAUGAAUAUUGUAUUUGAAAAAGUAUUUGUAGAAUACAGAGAAUGACAUUUUCUUCCUCUAGACAAGAUUUCCAUAUGCUUCUGCCUACUACUAACCCAGAACUACCUUAUUCUAAUUCCAAAGUAAGAGAUUUUUCUAGUCCACCCAGGUAACUUGAAGCAGGGCUGCUUUCCUUAUACUUCACCCUUGCUCCUAGGAUGCAUCCCUUUGGAGGUCACAAUUCUAAGUGCAGGGUGGUGUGUGGAUACUCCUUCUCUUGAACCCCAGCCCUCUGAGGCUAAUUCAACCUCUCAACCACUUUUUCCCAACCAUUAAAUGCUCCUUGAGCAAAAGAAGCUCCAAUUGUUGGGCCUGGCAGAGUGAAUUUCUUUCUUCUCCCAGAUCUUACCCUGGCAAUUCCUCACUAUCUUAUUUGUUUUUUAGAAUGUUUUAAUUUGAUAUCAUUUUAUUUCCCACU
Molecule: long non-coding RNA, 3376 nt
Filed under: Canis lupus familiaris (dog)
Lineage: Eukaryota; Metazoa; Chordata; Mammalia; Carnivora; Canidae
Description: lncRNA (ENSCAFG00805014167.1, ENSCAFG00845008539.1)
Source: RNAcentral